RNAcentral lists this ribosomal RNA (253 nucleotides) under uncultured bacterium. RNAcentral's name for it is "partial 16S ribosomal RNA". It matches the Rfam family "Bacterial small subunit ribosomal RNA", at positions 524 to 776 of the family's 1533-position model. The record is from RNAcentral.
UACGGGGGGAGCAAGCGUUGUUCGGAUUUACUGGGCGUAAAGGGCGCGUAGGCGGCCACCGCAAGUCGACUGUGAAAUCUCCGGGCUUAACCCGGAACGGUCAGCCGAUACUGCGGGGCUAGAGUGCAGAAGGGGCAACUGGAAUUCUCGGUGUAGCGGUGAAAUGCGUAGAUAUCGAGAGGAACACCUGCGGCGAAGGCGGGUUGCUGGGCUGACACUGACGCUGAUGCGCGAAAGCUAGGGAGCGAACGGG